UAGGGAAUCUUCCGCAAUGGACGAAAGUCUGACGGAGCAACGCCGCGUGAGUGAAGAAGGAUUUCGGUUCGUAAAACUCUGUUGUUAGGGAAGAAAAAAUGUAUAGUAACUAUAUACAAAAGAGACGGUACCUAACCAGAAAGCCACGGCUAACUACGUGCCAGCAGCCGCGGUAAUACGUAGGUGGCAAGCGUUGUCCGGAAUUAUUGGGCGUAAAGCGCGCGCAGGUGGUUUAGAAAGUCUGAUGUGAAAGGCCACGGCUCAACCGUGGAGGGUCAUUUGAAACUGAUAAACUUGAGUGCAGGAGAGGAAAGUGGAAUUCCUAGUGUAGCGGUGAAAUGCGUAGAGAUUAGGAAGAACACCGGUGGCGAAAGCGGCUUUUUGGCCUGCAACUGACACUGAGGCGCGAAAGCGUGGGGAGCAAACAGG
Molecule: ribosomal RNA, 429 nt
Filed under: Verrucomicrobiota bacterium
Lineage: Bacteria; Pseudomonadati; Verrucomicrobiota
Description: Verrucomicrobia bacterium partial 16S ribosomal RNA
Rfam family: Bacterial small subunit ribosomal RNA
Source: RNAcentral